CUCGUAGCUUACAUACUAAAAGCAUAGCACUGAAGAUGCUAAGACGCUGCACCUGCACCCAAGGAC
Molecule: transfer RNA, 66 nt
Filed under: Batrachostomus cornutus
Lineage: Eukaryota; Metazoa; Chordata; Aves; Caprimulgiformes; Batrachostomatidae
Description: tRNA-Phe
Source: RNAcentral